RNAcentral lists this ribosomal RNA (917 nucleotides) under uncultured bacterium. RNAcentral describes it as "bacterial SSU rRNA". It matches the Rfam family "Bacterial small subunit ribosomal RNA", at positions 8 to 938 of the family's 1533-position model. The record is from RNAcentral.
AGAGUUUGAUCACUGGCCUCAGGACGAACGCUGGCGGCGUGCUUAACACAUGCAAGUCGAGCGAUGAAACACCUUCGGGUGUGAAUUAGCGGCGAACGGGUGAGGAACACGUGAGAAAUCUGCCUUCAACACUGGGAUAACUCCGGGAAACCGGGGCUAAUACCGGAUAUGAAAUCUGCGGGCAUCCGCGGAUUUGGAAAGUUUUUCGGUUGAAGAUGAUCUCGCGGCCUAUCAGCUUGUUGGUGAGGUAAUGGCUCACCAAGGCGACGACGGGUAGCCGGCCUGAGAGGGCGACCGGCCACACUGGGACUGAGACACGGCCCAGACUCCUACGGGAGGCAGCAGUGGGGAAUAUUGGGCAAUGGAGGAAACUCUGACCCAGCGACGCCGCGUGCGGGAUGAAGGCCUUCGGGUUGUAAACCGCUUUCAGCAGGGAAGAAGCGAAAGUGACGGUACCUGCAGAAGAAGCACCGGCUAACUAUGUGCCAGCAGCCGCGGUAAUACAUAGGGUGCAAGCGUUGUCCGGAAUUAUUGGGCGUAAAGAGCUCGUAGGUGGUUCGUCACGUCGGAUGUGAAAAUCUGGGGCUUAACCCCAGACCUGCAUUCGAUACGGGCGAGCUUGAGUAUGGUAGGGGAGUCUGGAAUUCCUGGUGUAGCGGUGGAAUGCGCAGAUAUCAGGAGGAACACCAAUGGCGAAGGCAGGACUCUGGGCCAUUACUGACACUGAGGAGCGAAAGCGUGGGGAGCGAACAGGAUUAGAUACCCUGGUAGUCCACGCCGUAAACGGUGGGCACUAGUUGUGGGGACCUUCCACGGUCUCUGCGACGCAGCUAACGCAUUAAGUGCCCCGCCUGGGGAGUACGAUCGCAAGAUUAAAACUCAAAGGAAUUGACGGGGCCCCGCACAAGCAGCGGAGC